Molecule: long non-coding RNA, 1094 nt
Organism: Daktulosphaira vitifoliae (grape phylloxera)
Lineage: Eukaryota; Metazoa; Arthropoda; Insecta; Hemiptera; Phylloxeridae
Exons: 2
Source: RefSeq, a predicted model, not a curated record
UAAAAUUUUAUAAUUCAAUUAACUUCCAAUGUCUUUUUAAGGUGAAUUUCAGUUAAUUUUUUAUUAUAGAGAAAUAAAUGCAUAGUUUUGAAUUAAUAGUAUGUAAUUUUAGGUUAAACGAGACUCAAGUAUAUAUACAAAAGCAUGUGCAUAUUAUAUUUAAAAAUUAUAUUGUAUGAAUAUUACAAUAAAACAAUAUAUAAAAGAAAAAAAUAGUAUUAAAAGAACUAGACAGUGCACAAAUUGAAGGAUAUAGUUGCAAUUAUAAUAGAUAUUAAACGAUAAUUAAACAUUUUUAUAGGAUUAGGAAUGCCAUGAUAAAAUGUUAUAUAGCACAGAUUUUUAAAAGAAAUAACAUUAGAGAACGGAGUUCAAAUCAAAUUAAAGGCAAAUUUCAGUAAAAAGUUAUAGCCAACUCUUAAACAGGAAAGGGAAAUGAUAAAUUUAUGGGGUGAUUUAAAUGAUAAACCAAGGGGAAAUAGGAGCGUGAUUAACCAGUGCCAUUUGGCAAAAUUUGAAGGGAGAAAAGACCAUUUAGUUGACUAUGCAUUGAAAAGAGUAGUUUUGAAAAAAAUAAAAACAUCAGAAUUUAAAAGAUAAAAAGUGGGAUUAUGAAGAAAAAUAAGGAUAUUUUUAGCGAUCGGUCGUUUUAUAUCAAGAUUUCUGAAUGUCCAGGAAUCCAAUGAAACUAAACUACCUUGCCAGAAAGAGAACUUUGAUUGGGGAAGAUCUAAUUGAAAGGAUAAUUGAGGAGAUAAGAGAGAUGAAGAGAUUUGAAGCUAAGGUUGUAAGACUAGUCUGUAAAUCGAAUCCGAUUAAAAAAAAGAAAUCGUUAGAAUAUGAAACAUAAUGUUGAGCAUAAAAUUAAAUUAAAUCAAAACUAUAUUAAAAAUAAACAAAAACUAUAUUAUUAAUUUAAUAACUCAAAAAUAUUAAACUCAAAAGCCACAAAAAAAUUAAUGAAAAGUCGCGGAUACGUAUUUUGGAAACACGUUGAUAUCAUUAUCAACGCUAAAAUAAGUAUUCCAUUACUUGUACAAUUUCACAAAAUCAGUUAAAUUAUGCCAAAAUUUUAUAAUUUUUGGCUUUAGUGG